UUUGAGCUUUUCAUUUUUGUAAUAUUUGUAAUCACUUAGGUAAAACUAAAGAAAUGUACCAAUUUUGAGACAGAGAAAUAAAGUAGUUAGAGAUGUCACAUUAUUAACAGUCCUAAGAGGAGAGGAAAAGCCAAUCUUUAGACCAGGACACUAUUCAUUUAUGAAACUGGCUGUAUUAGCUCAUAAGGGCCCAUCUUCCAAAUAAGGUCCGUCUUUAGACCUGUGAUUUUUAGUGCCUUAGACCUUUGCUCUCCUAUGUAACCGGUUCACCACUAGCUCCCACGGCUGUGGGAAAUGGUGGUGUUUCCUUGCGCUUCAUUGGACUGGCACAUCAUUGUCCUAGAUUACCUGACAGCGAGAGGGCUGGGCUCAGCUGGAGCCUUUGGCUUGGCAGUUUUGAAUAAUCUGCUACCUAAAGGCCAGAUGCUUUUCUCAGUUGCUUGCUGGAAGCCCCUGCAAGAGAAAGACAUUAUUCCUUAUCUGUAAUGCCUUGCAGGUUUACCUGGCUAAGCAAUUUCUGACAAUUGUACACAGUUUCAUUUGCAAAGGGGUUCAGUUAAGCUUUGGGUCUCAGUUGUUUAUUAUUCUUUUUGGGAGAGUUGAAGUAAUUUGGCUUUCGAAUGCUUAAUGAUACCUCAAGCAUGCAAGAACACAUAGUAUGAUGUGUUUUUGUUGUCAUAAUUACACAAAAUUUGGAGCGCUAACCUAAUGAAAUGAAUGAAUCCACUAGAAUGACAUAAGCAUUGACUUUUCUGUAACAGAUUCACAUUCGGAAAUAUUUAGAUGAUGUAAACCAUCGUGUGUUAAUGACUUCUGUUGAUGAGAACUUACAUUCUCCUAUAGCUUCAAAAUGGUUGUUUCCAACUGUAAUUGACCAGAAGUUAUUUGUUUUUCCCCUGGAAUCUGAGCAUAAACUUCGGCGACUCCCAAAACAGCAUAGCUCACUUCCACAUAUGAUUUCAAGAGCAAAGGUAGGAACUGAGAAACCCAUGGUGACCAAGUAGUGAGUCUCGGGGCCUUGGAGGUGGGGAGACGAGGAGUGCCUCGUACUGGAUGGGAAGUUUCUUUUGGGGAUGAUAAAUUGUUCUAGAAUUGUAUAGUGGUGGUGGUUGUACAACUUUAGGAAUAUGCUAAAUACCACUGACUUGUACACUUUUAAAAGGUGAGCUUCAUUGCAAAUGGCUUAUAUCUAUAUAUAAAACUCUAUCAGCUUUCCUGUCUCUGGGGCAAAAUAUUUGUCCCCUGCAAGAUAAAGGAGAACAAGUUUAUUUGGCUCACAGCUUCAGUGGGUUCAAUCCAUGGUUAGCCAGCUUUGGAGUCAUAAACAGCAGGGUGGAAGGGCUGGCAGCUGCUCACAUCCUGGCAGCCAGGAAGCAGAGAGAAGGAAAGGAACCAAGAACAUGGAUGCAUCCUUUCAGGUCACACCCACAGUAACCCACCGCUUUCACCUAGGAACCACUUCCAAAUAGCACAUUCUGCUCUGACCUCACAAUGGACUAAUGCACUGAUGAACACAGUGCCCCCAUGAUCUAAUCAUCUUCCAAAUAUGUGAGACUUUGGGGUAUAUUUGAGAUCUGAGCCAUAAAAACACCUUAAAAUGUGUAAAGAAUGAAGGUAGGAUAUUUACAUUGUGUUCUAUAGUAGAAAGCAUAAUGAUACACGUAUAUAGGUAUGUUUCUACAGUUACAUGUUCUUAUUGAUCCAAUAUGUUCAUGGCAGUUUUGUUUCAAGAGCAAAAUUAACCAAAACAUAAUACCUUGAAAUUGUUAAACAGAGUCCCCUGGCGUUCCAAAUGGCCAGAAAUAGAGCUCAAGACAUUUCUGACUUUGCCUGUUUUGUGUUCUGUCAUCUUGACUGUUGCUCCCUGUCUCAGUGAGUGUUAGUUGAGCUGCUCUCACAGAAUACCACAGAUGGGGUGUCACAGUUUCCCAUAGCUCUGGCAGCUCCAGUCUAUGAUCAAGGUGCUGGCAGAUCUCGUAUCUGAUGAGGGUGUUCUUCCUUAUUUGUGAAAACCUUAUUCUUCUAUCUGGGAAAGACGGGGAGAGGGGAAAAGGGAGUAAAGAAGAGAGACAGAGAAUCUUUUGUCUUUUUAUAAGGACACUGAUCUCACACGUGAGAAUUACACCCUCAUAACCUAAUUACCUCCUAAAGGCCUUACCUCCUAAUACCACCACAUCAGGGUUUAAGAUUUCAACAUGACUUUUAAGGAGAUAUAUUGGGUACAUAAACCUCUUGACUUCUCCAAAGUAAAUAAUAGCUCACUUCUUUUAAGACCAGGUACCAUUGCCAUUGCUUGUUUAAUCUUCAGAACAGUCCUACCAAGAGGCAUUAUUAUUUUUAUUGGUG
This is a long non-coding RNA of Cavia porcellus (domestic guinea pig), 2346 nucleotides long. The record is from Ensembl. Lineage: Eukaryota; Metazoa; Chordata; Mammalia; Rodentia; Caviidae.